GCUGAGAGACGCCUUCGGCCAGUACGGAGAGGUCGUCAGCGUCCGCAUCAUCACAGACAGAGAGACCGGUCGCUCCAAGGGAUUCGGCUACGUCGAGUUUGCUGACUCUGA
This 111-nucleotide non-coding RNA is filed under the name Gloeochaete wittrockiana. Lineage: Eukaryota; Glaucocystophyceae; Gloeochaetales; Gloeochaetaceae. The record is from RNAcentral.